RNAcentral lists this ribosomal RNA (358 nucleotides) under Ectobiidae sp. 12 FL-2016. RNAcentral describes it as "12S ribosomal RNA". The record is from RNAcentral. Lineage: Eukaryota; Metazoa; Arthropoda; Insecta; Blattodea; Ectobiidae.
UUUGGAUGUAAAGUAUUUAAACUUGAGUAGUAUUAGUAUAAGGUCUUGAAACUUAAAGAAUUUGGCGGUAUUUUAGUCCAUUUAGAGGAAUCUGUUCCGUAAUCGAUAAUCCACGUUGGACCUUACUUAAUUUAAUUUAGUAUGUAUACCGUCGUUGUUGAAAAUCUUUUUAGGGUAUAUAAUUUUUAUAAUUUUUUUAAAAAAAAUUUUCAGGUCAAGGUGCAGCUAAUAUUUAAGUGGUAAUGGAUUACAAUAUUUUUAUGUAUAUGAAUUAUUAAUAGUAUUAAUUAAUAUAAAGGUGGAUUUAAUAGUAAUAUUUAUUUAGAAUAAAAAUAUGAUUAUAGGCUCUAUAAUAUGU